This is a long non-coding RNA of Phyllostomus discolor (pale spear-nosed bat), 376 nucleotides long. RefSeq lists it as uncharacterized. Lineage: Eukaryota; Metazoa; Chordata; Mammalia; Chiroptera; Phyllostomidae. The transcript has 2 exons. The record is from RefSeq and is a predicted model, not a curated record.
AGCGGAAGUGAUCUUUCAGUGCCACACUUGGCUUCUUCCUGCAAGCCAUUUCCAGCGUCCAUGCUGGUGAGGUCCGUAUGGAUCCUACCGGCGUUCUGGGUGGCGACCCAAGCCCCUAGAGUGGGAAUUGCACGACAUCGCCUCGCGUCGCCGUAGAGUUGAAUUAGAUGAGCGUGCCCUGGUGCACAAAUUUAAGGAAGAAGUGGAGGGGGGGUGUGGAAGACACAGAGGAAAGGCCAUGUAAGGACACAGCCAGAAGGCAGUCAUCCAUAAGCCAGUUACAGAGGCAUCACCAGAAACCAACUUUACUGACACCUUGACCUUGGAUGUCCAGCCUCAAAAAAUAUGAGAAAAGACAUUUUUAUUGUUCAAACCA